RNAcentral lists this ribosomal RNA (253 nucleotides) under uncultured bacterium. RNAcentral's name for it is "partial 16S ribosomal RNA". It matches the Rfam family "Bacterial small subunit ribosomal RNA", at positions 524 to 776 of the family's 1533-position model. The record is from RNAcentral.
UCCGUAGGGGGCAAGCGUUGUCCGGAAUCAUUGGGCGUAAAGAGCGUGUAGGUGGCUCGGUAAGUCCGCUGUGAAAGUCCAGGGCUCAACCCUGGAAAGCCGGUGGAAACUGUCGAGCUCGAGUCCGGAAGAGGCGAGUGGAAUUCCUGGUGUAGCGGUGAAAUGCGCAGAUAUCAGGAGGAACACCAAUGGCGAAGGCAGCUCGCUGGGACGGUACUGACACUGAGACGCGAAAGCGUGGGGAGCAAACAGG